This 320-nucleotide ribosomal RNA is filed under the name uncultured bacterium. Its description in RNAcentral is "bacterial SSU rRNA". It matches the Rfam family "Bacterial small subunit ribosomal RNA", at positions 28 to 334 of the family's 1533-position model. The record is from RNAcentral.
GAUGAACGCUAGCGACAGGCUUAACACAUGCAAGUCGAGGGGCAGCGGGGUAGUAAGCUUGCUUACUACUGCCGGCGACCGGCGCACGGGUGAGUAACACGUAUGCAACCUGGCCGUCACAGAGGGAUAACCGGGAGAAAUCCCGCCUAAUACCGCAUAAUACCGGGGGGAGGACAUCCUUUCCCGGUCAAAGGAGCGAUCCGGUGACGGAUGGGCAUGCGCCGCAUUAGUUAGUUGGCGGUGUAACGGACCACCAAGACGACGAUGCGUAGGGGUUCUGAGAGGAAGGUCCCCCACACUGGUACUGAGACACGGCCCAA